AAAAAACCUGGUGCAAUGGCCCUGCAAGUUGGGAGUAUGAUUUAGAACAUCCAUUGCAAGCAAGCUGACUAGAAAAUAAAUGCAUAUAAAAACAAAAAUCAUGAACAUUUAGAGAAGGAAGUGUGCACUGGGAAGACAAUAGAUAUGUAAUUGACCAUCAGCAAUAGAAGAGAAACUUCUUAUCCCCAAAAAAAUUAAAAAUUAAAAAUUA
RNAcentral lists this unclassified non-coding RNA (211 nucleotides) under Hevea brasiliensis (rubber tree). The record is from RNAcentral. Lineage: Eukaryota; Viridiplantae; Streptophyta; Magnoliopsida; Malpighiales; Euphorbiaceae.